This 824-nucleotide long non-coding RNA is filed under the name Ananas comosus (pineapple). RNAcentral describes it as "long non-coding RNA (ACOM_LNC027126)". Lineage: Eukaryota; Viridiplantae; Streptophyta; Magnoliopsida; Poales; Bromeliaceae. The record is from RNAcentral.
AUAUAUAUAUAUAUAUAUAUAUAGAGAGAGAGAGAGAGAGAGAGAGAGAGAGAGAGAGAGAGAGAGAGAGGGACUAGUAUACUAUCGGGCUCCGUGCUACCAAGUUGUUUUUAAUGAUGCGGUUUCCAAAUCAACAAUCAACUCUGUUAGACUUGAUCUACACUAUUGAUAGUAUUUGAAAAAUAAAUUUCAUAAUUUUCCGACGUUAUUUGGCUUCUGAUAAAAAUGUUUUAAAAUUGACAAUUUUAAAGGUCAAUGCAAUGCAUUUCUGAAUUUAACGGUGUAAAACAAUCUAAAUCUAAUAAAAAUUUUAUAUAAAAUUCUCUUCACUGUUUAGAGAAAGAUUAGUACAUUUGAUCUUAAAUUCAAGUCUUUUAUUAUUAUUUUUAUGAAAUUUUUAUUUUCAAUCAUUUAUUUUUAGACUUCUCGUUUAAUAGAUAAAUGAUGUCGAAAAAUUAUAAAAUCUGGUUUCCAAAUACUUUGAAUAGUGUAAAUUAAGUCUAACGAAGCCAAUUGUCGAUUUGGAAGCUAAUCAUCGAAAAUAACUUGAUAGCAUAGAGACCUCCGUGCUACCAAUAGUAUAACGUACAGCCGGACUCACACAAACACUCUCUCUCUUUAUAUAUAUAGAGAGAGAGUAGGACUACUAUACUCUUAUAAGUAUAGAACCCUUCGUACUUAUAAGUUAUAUAUUCUUUAAAAUUUGAGAGUUGAAUAAAUUCUCUAAUUUUGAAGGAUUAUUCGAUUGUACAACCUCCACGCCGUGUAAAACGAGAGCAACCUAUAAUUUAACCGCAUGUUUUUCGUAGUUUAACUUUGCUCAC